This 506-nucleotide ribosomal RNA is filed under the name uncultured bacterium. RNAcentral describes it as "partial 16S ribosomal RNA". It matches the Rfam family "Bacterial small subunit ribosomal RNA", at positions 29 to 523 of the family's 1533-position model. The record is from RNAcentral.
AGUGAACGCUGGCGGUAGGCCUAACACAUGCAAGUCGAACGGCAGCACAGGAGAGCUUGCUCUCUGGGUGGCGAGUGGCGGACGGGUGAGGAAUACAUCGGAAUCUACUUUUUCGUGGGGGAUAACGUAGGGAAACUUACGCUAAUACCGCAUACGACCUACGGGUGAAAGCAGGGGAUCUUCGGACCUUGCGCGAUUGAAUGAGCCGAUGUCGGAUUAGCUAGUUGGCGGGGUAAAGGCCCACCCAGGCGACGAUCCGUAGCUGGUCUGAGAGGAGGAUCAGCCACACUGGAACUGAGACACGGUCCAGACUCCUACGGGAGGCAGCAGUGGGGAAUAUUGGACAAUGGGCGCAAGCCUGAUCCAGCCAUACCGCGUGGGUGAAGAAGGCCUUCGGGUUGUAAAGCCCUUUUGUUGGGAAAGAAAUCCAGCUGGUUAAUACCCGGUUGGGAUGACGGUACCCAAAGAAUAAGCACCGGCUAACUUCGUGCCAGCCGCCGCAGUAA